This 376-nucleotide ribosomal RNA is filed under the name uncultured bacterium. Its description in RNAcentral is "bacterial SSU rRNA". It matches the Rfam family "Bacterial small subunit ribosomal RNA", at positions 524 to 898 of the family's 1533-position model. The record is from RNAcentral.
CACGAACCGGGCAAACGUUAUUCGGAAUUACUGGGCUUAAAGGGUGCGUAGGCGGCGCUGUAAGUCGGGUGUGAAAUCCCUCGGCCUAACCGAGGAAUUGCGCCCGAUACUGCAGUGCUCGAGGAAGAUAGAGGUGGGCGGAACUAGCGGUGGAGCGGUGAAAUGCGUUGAUAUCGCUGGGAACACCCGUGGCGAAAGCGGCCCACUGGGUCUUUUCUGACGCUGAUGCACGAAAGCUAGGGUAGCGAACGGGAUUAGAUACCCCGGUAGUCCUAGCCGUAAACGAUGAGCACUAGAUCGGGGAGACCUCCACAUCUUCCCGAUCGUAGCGAAAGUGUUAAGUGCUCCGCCUGGGGAGUAUGGUCGCAAGGCUGAA